UGAUGCAUAAAGAGAUGAGAAAGAUUUAAUA
This 31-nucleotide non-coding RNA is filed under the name Rattus norvegicus (Norway rat). The record is from RNAcentral. Lineage: Eukaryota; Metazoa; Chordata; Mammalia; Rodentia; Muridae.